Molecule: transfer RNA, 83 nt
Filed under: Hamadaea sp.
Lineage: Bacteria; Bacillati; Actinomycetota; Actinomycetes; Micromonosporales; Micromonosporaceae
Description: tRNA-Leu
Rfam family: tRNA
About the family: Transfer RNA (tRNA) molecules are approximately 80 nucleotides in length. Their secondary structure includes four short double-helical elements and three loops (D, anti-codon, and T loops). Further hydrogen bonds mediate the characteristic L-shaped molecular structure. tRNAs have two regions of fundamental functional importance: the anti-codon, which is responsible for specific mRNA codon recognition, and the 3' end, to which the tRNAs corresponding amino acid is attached (by aminoacyl-tRNA synthetases). tRNAs cope with the degeneracy of the genetic code in two manners: having more than one tRNA (with a specific anti-codon) for a particular amino acid; and 'wobble' base-pairing, i.e. permitting non-standard base-pairing at the 3rd anti-codon position.
Source: RNAcentral
GCCGGGAUGGAGUAACGGCAGCCUCGAUCGGCUCAAAACCGAUUGCUCGAAAGAGCGUGCGGGUUCGAAUCCCGCUCCCGGCA